This 72-nucleotide transfer RNA is filed under the name Sphaerodactylus townsendi. RNAcentral describes it as "tRNA-Ala". Lineage: Eukaryota; Metazoa; Chordata; Lepidosauria; Squamata; Sphaerodactylidae. The record is from RNAcentral.
GGAACUGUGGCUCAGUGGCAGAGUUUCUGCUUGGCCUGCAGGAGGUCCCAGGUUCAAUAUCUACCAUUUCUG